RNAcentral lists this long non-coding RNA (572 nucleotides) under Monodelphis domestica (gray short-tailed opossum). RNAcentral's name for it is "lncRNA (ENSMODG00000032352.2)". Lineage: Eukaryota; Metazoa; Chordata; Mammalia; Didelphimorphia; Didelphidae. The record is from RNAcentral.
AUGGCUCAGAGAAUUGCCAUAACUCACAUAGCUAUCACUCAGAUGUUUCCAGCUCUAUUCCACUCAAGCCAAGUAGGCCACCACAAGAAGAAUAGGGCGGUGCUUCCCUGGUCCAUUGCUCUGCUUCACUUAGAAACAAGGCAUUUAAAAUCAUCAACAGAAGGCAUCGUAUUUUCACAGAACUUGGCACACAUGGAGGAAAAUUCAGAUUGUCAUGGUGAUAUCUGGCAUCUCUCGUCCUCUCCUGGGCUGUGGAGCUGAUUAACAUUUGCAGAAUUCUCUGAACUCCUCUGAUCAAAGGUGCAACGUCUUCUGAUUCCUGAAAUGUACUUCUUCUACUUUCCCUGUUGAUUUCCAACCCAUCAUCUUUCAUGACAACUUUCCUAAUAUCUGGAGCUAGAAGCUAUCCCUUCCUCCCUAAAGUUCUCAUAACAAUUUAUUUAAAUCUCUCCAGGACACUUAGCUUAUUGAGGAAAGGGAUCUCAGCUUGUUUAUGUGUAUACUUCUCUGCAUUAAGAACAGCACUUUGUAUAACAAACACUUAAUAAAAGUUUGAUGAAUGAAUUAAUCCA